UCCGACAACAAAAGAACAAGACAAAAAAAAAUCAAAAAUCAAAACAUACCCUGUGGCUGCACAUCUUCUUCCCUACGCCCCUGCCCUCAAUCGCCGCUGACGCCGCCCCGUCCACCGCCCGGCCCUUGCUGCUACCUUAUGUCCAUCCUGCCGCCCAGCCAUGCGUGAUGCACGGACACUGCUUCCUCUCCUCAGCUCACUAACUCUAAUGGAGACACUAAUGAGGAAGGAUUAUCAUUGGAGUAGAUCUGUCGGACGAGGAGUGGGACGGAGGAUGAAGCCGACGACAUCACUGUCAUGUCAUGCCAAGGCGUAGAGAUAUGGCUCCCAACCACGGUUCUCGGCGCGUGGGGGGCUUGUGUUGCGUGGGGCGGCGGUGGCGGUGAGCUCCUCGGCUUGUGGAUUCCUGGCCCUUCCUUCUACUAGUGAGCAAGAAACGAGCUCGAAUUCGGAAGCAACCGCGUGAUUCAAACGAUGAGGAUCUUAAUGCGGGUCAUGACGUGCUUGAGCCCGUAGGGGAUGGUGUUAACUUUUGGUAGACCACUGGUUCUCUCUAUUUCUGGGCUCUCAUUUGGCUGGUCCAGUCUGGGUUCCGUUGGCAUAUUGGUGCUGUGCUUGGCUGAGGCCAUCGGCCUCAUUGCCAGAAUUGGCAUACAAGUAACCUCCUCUCAUUAUUACUAAUCUUGCCACAUGCUGGAAGCCUCAAACUGUCUACAGACUGAUUCACAAAAAAAGUUAGUGUCUACACACUGCAGUGAUCUUCCUAUGUUCUGUUGAUUUCAUUACAGAUCUCAUAAAUGACAUAAAUCAAUGAGAGACACUUGUAGACUCUCUGUCACCACAACAAACAAUGAGGUAAUGAGAUGUUACUUGGAGAAAUGGCAAUGUCUGUUUAAAGUUCCAUCGCAGGGUGUACCCUUUGUAGUUCUUACAUGUGAGAUGUAUAUGCUCCUUUCUCCACUUUUGUAAAAUAAAUCUAGAUGUACAUGCUCUAUUUACUGAUUGUUAAAUUAAAAUGAAGGUGUUUGUUGAUUAGCCGUGUAAAUUUAUUAUUUUAUAAAUAUUAUACAGAUUACUGUGGGCACAUUGGGAGUUGUCAAAUUAGCCUAGAUCAUAGUUUCUUGCAUAUACAGUUGAUACAUCUGGGAUUGAACUAAUUUUCUUCGAUCUGAGCAUGCCAUCUUUGGUUCAGACAAGGGAAUAGUUAGUUUAGCAUGAACUGUUAUUAUUUGAGUAGACAAAUGACUCGAGAACUCAAAACCUAAAUUAAGCUAUUUGACUAUUUGCAUUCGGAUCUGAUCUAAUUACUGGUGUAUUUGUCUCCCCUAACUUAACUCUGUUAUUUGGAGGUAAUUAUUGGAUUCAUGAUCUUAUAUGUGUUGAGGUCAUGAUUGCAUCACACAUAUCUAUCUGCAGUUUGUUCUCGUUUAGCUAUGUGUGCAGGAGAUGUGGGCUUUGCAGAGAGUUUGCAAAAUGCUGACAAUUUUAGUUGGAGCUAAUGUCGGCCUCUUGUAUUAACUACAACCUGUUCUGGUAAUUGUAAAUUGGUUAAAUAAUUUGAACCUGCGGUCAAUAGAUGACAUGUCACCAGCUAAAAUUGAUGAAACACAUGUGGAGGAUGGGAAUGCACUGAGGAUUAGAUUCUUGGUAGAGAUGUUUAAGUACAAGGACAACGAAUCUAAAUACAAUAUUCGUGAAGAUAUACAAGAACUUAUUAGGCGUGUGAGGAUUUAGAUGGCCUACCUAUGAUGUUAUUUAUUUGACAUAUUGCUCUUUAACAGAAUUGCAAUGGGCUCAACAAUACGAUAACUCAUUAUGAAUC
Molecule: long non-coding RNA, 1822 nt
Organism: Sorghum bicolor (sorghum)
Lineage: Eukaryota; Viridiplantae; Streptophyta; Magnoliopsida; Poales; Poaceae
Exons: 4
Source: RefSeq, a predicted model, not a curated record